Molecule: long non-coding RNA, 3993 nt
Organism: Neofelis nebulosa (Clouded leopard)
Lineage: Eukaryota; Metazoa; Chordata; Mammalia; Carnivora; Felidae
Exons: 3
Source: RefSeq, a predicted model, not a curated record
GCGCGGUCACUUCUCCCCUCCCCCCGCCUCCCGCCGCGACCCCCGCGGGGCGCGAGGUCCUAGCCCGGCCCCCUUGGAGCCCCUCCUCCGCAUUCGCUCCGCGGGUCCCUCGCGGAAAAGGAGCUGGGAGUGAAGGAAGGGCCCAGGGCGCUACUCUGCUGCCCUUCUUGCGGGGCUCCGACUCUGUGUGGUGUGGGUUUAUCGCCCCGGCCUCAGGCAGGUGGCGGCUGCUCCUCUAGGGUUUAUCAAAAACGGGGAAAGGGACGCCGAGUCCCUCAGUCCUGGGAGAAGAAUGCUGAGCGGGAUUCACGUCCCUGGACGAGAAGUUUUCCUUUCCGGGGGCUUGAACUCACAACCUUGAGAUCUGGACCUGGGCUGAGAUUAAGAGCCGGACAUCUAACUGAACCACCCAAGCACCCCUGUGACUCUUGACUAAAAGAAUAUAAGCCUGUAUCCUGAGAUUUGAACACCUAACCACAUUGUGCAUGUAAACAACAGCUUUUUUUAGUUUUCCAGGAUCAGGUCAGAGGGACUCGACACCCAGAAAGACAGUAAUGGUAUAGAAGGGGAAGCUUUGGGAGGGACUGGGCAGAAGUAAAACCAUCACCUUACAGAGAAAAUAUGUUGCUUUUGACCACGAGUUCAAUGUUAAUAAAUCAAUGAUAUAUAUUAAAUAAGGUUUCCUUAAACAGAAACACACAUAAAAUGAGGUUAUAUGUUGAUUGGUUGAAGCAAAUGUGAGCAAAGUCUCUCAGGGAAAUAUUUCUGGUAGGAACAAUGGUUAGCAUUUGCUAAUUCAGUGUUCCCUGCCUACCCUAUUUAAAACAACAGUCACAUUAUAUCAUCUUGCCCUGUUUUACGUUUUCCCCAUACUCUGGUCACUGACAUUUACUGGAUAUUUAUGUGUUUACUAUCAUAUCAGCAUAUAAGUUCCAUAGGACAGGAACUUUAUUUUAUUCACUAAUGUAUCCCAGGCUAGAAAAGCAGUAAUAAUCCAUAAAUAUUGUUGGUGAAUCAAUCAAAUAAUUUAACAGCCCUUAAGGCGUCUGUUCUCAUCACCAAUUUUCAGCCUUCAUGUUUAUGGUCAUUGUUCUAUUCGUGGUUUUACUGAAACCCUAGUCCAGGUAAACCCCAUCUGGCUACCUCCAUCUCUCUGAUCCUGCAUAUGCCUCUGGGACUCUUAUCCUAUUUCUUCCCUGUGCAGUCUAAGUAAGAAAGUUCUUUGAGUGGGUCCAGAGCAUUAAAAAUAGUUGUGCAUAACUCUAUGGUAGCAGUAGUCAUUAGCUGACAAUGCCUAAAAAGAGAACAACAGCAAGUUAGCAGACCCUGUCUUAACAGAUUGGAAUGGCAUGUUAAUUCUCAACCUAAUGAUUUAUUUACUGAUGCCUGCUGCCUUCAUUAAGAAUUAUUAGAGCAUUUUCUUUUGAGCUUAUCAAAGGGAAAAUUGUAUUUGUGUUUACUUUAGUCACUAAGGUUAAUUGCCAUUUUAAUACUCUUUUGAUGUGCUAAUAGCUCUUAAUGAGGAUCAUUAAUUAGAAAACUAAAAGGAGAAGGCAGGUUUUUGCAGAAAAUUUGAAUCUAUUCCCACUACUCCCCUAAACUCCAUUUCUGGGACUUAACUACUCAUUUCACCUAGAUUUCUACAGUUAAAUCAAAUUGAGGCCAAUUAUAGUCAUUGGGGAAGAGUAGAGCAAACAGACUUUUGGAUGCUUGCUUACUCCAUGAGCAAGUUAUUUAAUGUCCCUGAGCCUCUUUCCUCAUGCAUAAAAUAUUUGUCUUGCAGAGUCAUUUAAGAUUAAUUAUUAUCAUAUGCAGCAACCAUUCAUCAAGCACCUUCUUUAUUUUUUUUUUAAUGUUUAUUUAUUUUUGAGACAGAGAGAGACAGAGCAUGAGCAGGGGAGGGGCAGAGAGAGAGGGAGACACAGAAUCCAAAGCAGGCUCCAGGCUCUGAUCUGUCAGCACAGAGCCAGACCUGGGGUUGGAACUCACAGACUAGACCAUGAGAUCAUGAUCUGAGCCAAAGUCAGACGCUUAACCGACUAAGCCACCCAAGCGCCCCUAUCAAUCCAGUCCCUAAGCUAGGUACUCAACCUUCAUUUUCUACUACUCCGCCCCUAUAGGGAAAUUGUCAUUAUAGUUUCCCCUUAGAUAAUAUAUGUAAAGCCUCUGUCAUAGUGAACAGCACAUACUUGGACAGCAGUUAGCAUACUACAGCCCCUUGGCCAAAUCUACCCUGAUGCCUGUUUUUGUAAAUUAGGUUUUAUUGGAACACAGCCAUGCCCAUUUGUUAACUGUUGUCUAUGGCUACCUUUGCACUAAAAUGGCAGAAUUGAAGAGUUAUGACAGAGACAAUAUGGCCCACAAAAACAAAAAUAUUUGCUCUUUGAUCCUUUAUAGAAAAAGUUUGCCAACUCAUAUGCUAGGAGACCAACAAUAGUCUGAUUUACUUAUGCAUCCAAACAGGAGGGCAAGAAAAAAAAAAAAAAGCAGAUCUAGAGAGGGGGUCACAAAUGACUAGAGUCCCAAGGGAUCAAAGAUUCUUACCAAAAAAGGGGGGAAAAUUGAAGUGAAUAGAAAUCCUAAUUUGUGACUUCCAGAUACAUUGCCUACUGCAGAAUGAGCAGCCUCCCAAAGGAAAGUGCGAAGCAAUGUGCUCAUGGAAGAGUUAGAAUUCAGUUAUGAGUGCUCAGGAGAGAGCCAGGUGAAAGUGCUCAGUGAAUAGGUUAAGGAUGUAGGGGAGAAAUCUGUUUAUCACGGAAAAGCUCAGGAAGCAGAGGGGAAGGGUUUGUAGAGGAAGAGUAAAAGCAGUGGUAGCUGCAGAAUGUCUAUAACAAAGGGACUUCGGAGUCUCGCUGGUUGAAAAAAUGUCACUUAUCCAUUCCAAGAAUGGAUGAAAUGAACUGAAGGAGAUCUUGGGAGAUCUGCAUCUGCUCUCUAAUGCCCCAUAGACACUUUCUAUCAGUGGCAGGUAAAGAAUGGGAAAAGGAAGAAAAGCAUAAGCAGCACAAAAAGGCAUGACAAAAAGUGCUUAUAUUUUGAACAGUGACUAAAGACGAUAACAAGCGUGAUAAACAUCGUGGAAUAUUCUGGCUUCACGAUUUCCAAAGGAUUCAUAUUAUACACUUGCUUUACCUUGGGUAGAAGCCCAGGUCCUGGUAGAAUCAGUGGCCUGUGGAAGUUGAUGGUCUGACCUGUAAAUUUUGUAGGCCAGAAGUGAACAGGUCUUAAACAUCAGUGCUUUAAUUGUAGGUAUUCAGCAAUUCUGUCAAUGAAGUUGUUUCCAUUCUUUAAACCUAUUGGAAUUAUGGCAAUCAAUAGGCCAUAACACAGAAAGGUAUUUGGAAAUAAUGGCUAAAAAGAAAAAAAAAAUAGAAAAGAAAGUGAAACCAUACUGUCAGAAGUUCUUAGUCAUGUUUUUUGAUAUGCUUUUGCUUUCUUGGUUGUUUUGGGUUUUUUUUUUUCCCCGAGAUAGCACUAUCUUUUAAAAUAUUUUUGUAGUUGUAGGAAAGUCAUAUAAAUGGACCAUGAUUUCUGGAAAGUUAAAAACAAACAAACGAAACAAGCAACCACCUCUAGUGUUGUUUCAGGGGAGUUCUGACUCUUUAGCGCAUAUUCUCCUUUUCACUUCUUUUUUUUGUCAUUCAUUGUUCACGAGCCUUUUUUACUGUGUACUUUGCAAGUCAUGGCAUCUCCAGAAUUUUUAAGGAGAGUCCUAACUUGUUUAAUAUCCAUAGAGUCAGUAUCUCAGGAUGACUUUUCUGAAGAUUCCAUCCUACUGGGGACAAAACUCAGAAGCAUUUUUAAGUUUACCUGUUUGGAUUCAGUCCAGUUUGCCUUGAUCCUAAUAUUCUUCAGCUCUUUCAUUUUUUAAAUGUAUGAAAGUUAUUUAAAAAAAAUUUUUAAUGUUUAUUUAUUAUUGAAAGACAGAGUCAGAGCAUGAGCAGGGGAGGAGCAGAGGGAGAGGGAGACACAGAAUCUGAAGCAGGCUCCAGG